This 529-nucleotide ribosomal RNA is filed under the name uncultured bacterium. RNAcentral's name for it is "bacterial SSU rRNA". It matches the Rfam family "Bacterial small subunit ribosomal RNA", at positions 772 to 1296 of the family's 1533-position model. The record is from RNAcentral.
ACUGAAUAGAUACCCCGGUAGUCCAUGCCAUAAACGAUGAAUACUAGGUUUUGGGCCCGUCAACGGUCCAGAGCCGCAGCUAAACGCGUUAAGUAUUCCGCCUGGGGAGUACGGUCGCAAGACUGAAACUCAAAGGAAUUGACGGGGGCCCGCACAAGCGGUGGAGCAUGUGGUUUAAAUUCGACGCAACGCGAAGAACCUUACCAAGGCUUGACAUGGGGGAAGACCGGACGAGAGAUCGUCCUUCUCUAGCAAUAGAGCUUCCCACACAGGUGCUGCAUGGCUGUCGUCAGCUCGUGUCGUGAGAUGUUGGGUUAAGUCCCGCAACGAGCGCAACCCUCGUUUCUAGUUGCCAUCAUUCAGUUGGGCCCUCUAGAGAGACUGCCGCGAAUAACGCGGAGGAAGGUGGGGACGACGUCAAGUCAUCAUGGCCCUUACGUCUUGGGCUACACACGUGCUACAAUGGGCGUUACAAAGGGUCGCAAGAGCGCAAGCUGGAGCCAAUCCCCGAAAAGCGCCCCCAGUUCAG